This 467-nucleotide ribosomal RNA is filed under the name uncultured bacterium. Its description in RNAcentral is "partial 16S ribosomal RNA". It matches the Rfam family "Bacterial small subunit ribosomal RNA", at positions 28 to 507 of the family's 1533-position model. The record is from RNAcentral.
GACGAACGCUGGCGGCGUGCUUAACACAUGCAAGUCGAACGGAAAGGCCUCUUUCGGGGGGUACUCGAGUGGCGAACGGGUGAGUAACACGUGAGUAACCUGCCCUUGACUUUGGGAUAACUUCAGGCAACUGGGGCUAAUACCGGCUAGGAGCUCCUGCUGACUGGAGGGGGUUGGAAAGUUUCGGCGGUUUGGGGUGGACUCGCGGCUUAUCCGCUUGUUGGUGGGGUAGUGGCUUACCAAGGCCUUGCCGGGUAGCCGGCCAGAGGGGGUGACCGGCGACAUUGGGACUGAGAUACGGCCCAGGCUCCUACGGGAGGGAGCAGUGGGGAAGAUUGCACGAUGGGUGGAAGCCUGAUGCAGCAACGCCGUGGGCGGGAUGACGGUCUUCGGGUUGUAAACCGCUUUCGCUCAUGACGAAGCUUUGUGUGACGGUAGUGGGUAAAGAAGCACCGGCUAACUACGUG